UACGAAGGGGGCUAGCGUUGCUCGGAAUGACUGGGCGUAAAGGGCGCGUAGGCGGCUUGCACAGUCAGGCGUGAAAUUCCUGGGCUCAACCUGGGGACUGCGCUUGAGACGUGUGGGCUUGAGUGGGGAAGAGGGUCGUGGAAUUCCCAGUGUAGAGGUGAAAUGCGUAGAUAUCGAGAGGAACACCUGCGGCGAAGGCGGGUUGCUGGGCUGACACUGACGCUGAUGCGCGAAAGCUAGGGGAGCGAACGGG
This 253-nucleotide ribosomal RNA is filed under the name uncultured bacterium. RNAcentral's name for it is "partial 16S ribosomal RNA". It matches the Rfam family "Bacterial small subunit ribosomal RNA", at positions 524 to 776 of the family's 1533-position model. The record is from RNAcentral.